Dermacentor silvarum is the source of this 807-nucleotide long non-coding RNA. RefSeq lists it as uncharacterized. The transcript has 5 exons. Lineage: Eukaryota; Metazoa; Arthropoda; Arachnida; Ixodida; Ixodidae. The record is from RefSeq and is a predicted model, not a curated record.
ACUCGUGAUAUGUUAGUGCUGCUCAACCUUUUUUUUUUUGUGUGAUUGUGUGUCGAGCGUAUGCACACAUGCAGCCUUUUCCCCCGUGAUUUCAGGUGCAUCUGCGAGUGCCGGGCCUCCGUUGGGAAGCGCUGAUGGAUCCGAGACCGAAAGUGUGCCAUCGAGACUUCAUGCUGGACCAUCUACCACUUCCUCAGGAUCACGAACGGAUCCGCAAGUGCUUGCCUUUAUGGAGAGGAUAUUGCCAAGGCUGAAUACAAUUAACGUUGUGCAAUAGACGCACACACAGCUCUUGCCUGAACUUAAGACAAAUGCUGAAGAAGUAUGCCCAGAGAGCCACACGCUUCCCGAUGUGCCAUUUUUGACCACAAGUGACAUGGUUGAUUGGGAUGCUGAACUUGGGGUCAACAAGGAAGCAAAGCUUCAAAUGAAAAGACACAUAGUUGUCCAAGGUGGCGACACCAUAAAGAAGACUGCACGCAUCUUAAAGAGCAUCAUGUCUUGGGAUGUGGCAAAGCAGUUCAGUUGGUUUGGUGCAAAAGGAAAAAUGAAGUUUUGCGAGCUGAAUGUUUCCAAGCUACUGUGCACCUGCCUGAUAGAAAAUAUCAAGCAGAAUCAGGAGGAGGCUACGUUGAAAAACAUAGAAAAGGCAGCCAUGUCUUGGUUCCGCCAUGCUGCCGAACGGGCAGCAGCAGGGCAACAAAGGCAACAACCACCACUGAACAGAACAUCAGAACAGGACAACGAAACCCUCAUUUGAGACAGUGCACCUUAAUUAUUGCUCCAUUUUGCAAUAAAUACUUUUGG